AACGAACGCUGGCGGCAGGCUUAACACAUGCAAGUCGAGCGCCCCGCAAGGGGAGCGGCAGACGGGUGAGUAACACGUGGGAAUCUACCCAUCCCUGCGGAACAACUCCGGGAAACUGGAGCUAAUACCGCAUACGCCCUUCGGGGGAAAGAUUUAUCGGGGAUGGAUGAGCCCGCGUUGGAUUAGCUAGUUGGUGGGGUAAAGGCCUACCAAGGCGACGAUCCAUAGCUGGUCUGAGAGGAUGAUCAGCCACAUUGGGACUGAGACACGGCCCAAACUCCUACGGGAGGCAGCAGUGGGGAAUAUUGGACAAUGGGCGCAAGCCUGAUCCAGCCAUGCCGCGUGAGUGAUGAAGGCCUUAGGGUUGUAAAGCUCUUUCACCGAUGAAGAUAAUGACGGUAGUCGGAGAAGAAGCCCCGGCUAACUUCGUGCCAGCAGCCGCCGUAA
This 447-nucleotide ribosomal RNA is filed under the name uncultured bacterium. Its description in RNAcentral is "partial 16S ribosomal RNA". It matches the Rfam family "Bacterial small subunit ribosomal RNA", at positions 29 to 523 of the family's 1533-position model. The record is from RNAcentral.